RNAcentral lists this ribosomal RNA (253 nucleotides) under uncultured bacterium. Its description in RNAcentral is "partial 16S ribosomal RNA". It matches the Rfam family "Bacterial small subunit ribosomal RNA", at positions 524 to 776 of the family's 1533-position model. The record is from RNAcentral.
UACGUAGGGGGCUAGCGUUGUCCGGAUUUAUUGGGCGUAAAGAGCGUGUAGGCGGCCAGGUAGGUCUGCUGUGAAAACUCGAGGCUCAACCUCGAGACGUCGGCGGAAACCAUCUGGCUAGAGUCCGGAAGAGGAGAGUGGAAUUCCUGGUGUAGCGGUGAAAUGCGCAGAUAUCAGGAAGAACACCCGUGGCGAAGGCGGCGACCUGGUCCGUGACUGACGCUGAGGCGCGAAAGCGUGGGGAGCAAACAGG